GACGAACGCUGGCGGCGUGCUUAACACAUGCAAGUCGAACGGAAAGGCCCUGCUUUUGUGGGGUGCUCGAGUGGCGAACGGGUGAGUAACACGUUAGUAACCUGCCCUUGACUUUGGGAUAACUUCAGGAAACUGGGGCUAAUACCGGAUAGGAGCUCCUGCUGCAUGGUGGGGGUUGGAAAGUUUCGGCGGUUGGGGUUGGACUCGCGGCUUAUCAGCUUGUUGGUGGGGUAUUGGCUUACCAAGGCUUUGCCGGGUAGCCGGCCUGAGGGGGGGAGCGGCCAAAUUGGGACUGAGAUAAGGCCCAGACUCCUACGGGAGGGAGGAGUGGGGAAGAGUGCACAAUGGGAGGAAGCCUGAAGCAGCAAAGCCGCGUGCGGGAUGACGGCCUUCGGGUUGUAAACCGCUUUCGCCUGUGACGAAGAGUGAGUGACGGUAAUGGGUAAAGAAGCACCGGCUAACUACGUG
Molecule: ribosomal RNA, 468 nt
Filed under: uncultured bacterium
Lineage: Bacteria
Description: partial 16S ribosomal RNA
Rfam family: Bacterial small subunit ribosomal RNA
Source: RNAcentral